GCAGCACCACCAUGAGGGCUUGGGAGAAGGCGUGACACUGAGGAGGCCCAGGGCAGGGCACACAAUGGGGAAGGAGACCAGAAAUUUGUGUUGACGGAUGGUCAAUCCCCUAUCUGAACACUGCUAAAGCUGACACUGCCAUCCACCGUAGAUUCAAGCACCUACCACCAGGCAUCUCUCCACCCGGGUUGCUCUCAGCUGACACCUGAGAGGUGUUGGAGGGCAGGGAUGUCUCCUGUGCAGAUCUGUGCCGCUCCCCUCACAACCACAGAGCCACCACGUAAGGACUGCCUUUUGGUGCCAUGACUCAGACAAAAAAUCAAGAGGCCACACUUCAGGCUAAGUAUCUAAUUGCCUUUUCAUUCCCCAGUGCUUAAUCAUCAGUAAAUACAGGAAUAAAACAUAACAAAGGGCAGCUCUGACAUACCCGAAUAGCUCCCUGCUCUGGUGCCCGGUCUGCACACCAGGGAAGAAGGCUGCAUGGGACUGCUCAGGAUCAAAGAGCAGAGAAUUCAAAGUACCCCGUAUGGUACAGCAUCUGGUUCUCCUUACUCGAUGUCAGACAAGUGAUCAAAGAUGCAGAAAGAGUGCUUGCACUAAUGCCAUCUCUUGAAAUAGCUUUGCCUAGUGAUCUGUAGGAAACAAUCGCGUGCGUGUAGGACGGGGCACCCCGCAGGCUCCCAGCUGCUGCGCAAGGUCAGGUCGGUGCCGCUCUUACAGUAAGGUUGCUUGAGGGCCCAGGAAGCUGAGCGAUUCAUGCAAGGUCGCCGAGAAAACUGAAAAGCAGAGCUGGGGACAGAGUUUAAAAGCUCUGAGUGCAAGACACCACAGGGAAAUUGUCUGCAAGCUUUCAGGGUUCAGACGACUGAAUGGAGAGCGAUGCUCGCCGGAGCCUUUUGCCCUGCCCCGACACGUGCAGAAGGAGCUGUGCCUGCGGUCCUGCCCCGCUGUCCCAGCACAGCUUCCAGGGAGAUGUGUCAGAGCAUCCCCCACCGGCAGUGUGAGUGGUGCAAAGGCUUCUCCAUAGAGCAGGCAGGAAUAAAAGCAUCAGAGAAACAGCACCGUUAGGGCUGGAGGGCUGUCCUCACCUGGGGCCCAAGAGCUCUGCAGCAAGAAGCUCAGGCCAGUUGUGGGAGAGGAUCCGAGCUGAAGGCAAGCACAGAGCAUCAGCGGGGUCCCAACCCCACAAAGACCCCCCAGCUGUGCCCAUGGGGUAAGAGUGGAGAAGAGUCACUGCACACAUC
This is a long non-coding RNA of Oxyura jamaicensis (ruddy duck), 1244 nucleotides long. RefSeq lists it as uncharacterized. The transcript has 3 exons. Lineage: Eukaryota; Metazoa; Chordata; Aves; Anseriformes; Anatidae. The record is from RefSeq and is a predicted model, not a curated record.